Molecule: ribosomal RNA, 1485 nt
Filed under: Lepetodrilus schrolli
Lineage: Eukaryota; Metazoa; Mollusca; Gastropoda; Lepetellida; Lepetodrilidae
Description: 16S ribosomal RNA
Rfam family: Bacterial large subunit ribosomal RNA
Source: RNAcentral
UGAUAUAUCAAAACUGUGAUAAUUAUAGAGUUUGUGAAGAAAGUAGUAAAAGGAAACGUCCGAUUAAGAUUAGUAGUUUGGUGAGCGAAAGAUUAAGAGAAUACGCAGUGAGGAGUCCGAGAGGGAAGUUGUAAUAAAAAUGUAAAUCUAGUUUUAGUAAAGUUAAGAACUUGUACCUUUUGCAUCAUGGUUUUCUAAGAAAGGGGCUUGAAAUAUAAGUUUUCCCGAAAUGAGGUGAGCUAUUUCUUUACAUAUAAUUGGCGUGGCAAAGCCAAGUGUAGAUAGAGAAAUUGGAGUGAAACGCUUGUCGCACCUUGUGAUAGCUGGUUUACUAGGAGAAGCAUCGAAGUGCUGGUCUAUUGGAAGAUUUUGGUUAGUAAUUAUAUCAAAGUGCGGAAAUAGAAUUUAUGUAGGAGAGGAUUAGCUCUUCUAGUUAUUAAGAAAAUCUUUUUGUUGUUAGUUGUAAAGUGGGCUUAAGAUUAGCCAUCUUAGGGAAGUUUGUUAAAAAAUAAUAAAAUGAAGAACAAUUAAUAUUUAUUUUUUUCUAAUAUUAGAAAAGUACUAGUAGUAGGAGUUAUGUAAUUUUGACUUUUAAAAUACUGGGAAAAUGAGUAUUGUCAUCAUAAUAAUUUGAGGUGUUUUAUUAAAUUAAUGAAAAUAACUGUAGAAGAAUGAAGGUUUGUAGAAAAAUCUAACGAAGGAACUUGGCAAAAAUUGGUCUCGCCUGUUUAUCAAAAACAUGGCUCUUUGCUAGUUAUAAAAAUGAGGAUAGAGAGUCUGACCUGCCCGGUGAUGUAGGAAUUAAACGGCCGCAGUACCCUGACUGUGCAAAGGUAGCAUAAUCAUUUGCCUUUUAAUUGAGGGCUGGAAUGAAAGGUUUGACGUGGACUAAGCUGUCUCCUGAGGAUUAUAUAGAAAUUAAUUUUUAGGUGAAAAAGCCUAAAUUUGGCUAUGGGACGAGAAGACCCCGUUGAGCUUUAACUAAACUUGAGAAUAGGAAAAACAAUAAGAUGUAUUGAACUAAUUUUUAGGGUGUUUUUAGUGGGGGAAAACGGAGGAAUAUUUGGAGCUUCCUCUUUUAAAGUAAAUUAAAUUGCUAAUUUUAGAUUAAUUAGUAUAUUGUAUUUAAAGUAAGGCUGACGUGUAAGUUUAAUUAAAAGGAUCCGCUAAAUUGAUAUAGGCGAUUAAGGGAGAAAGUUACCACGGGGAUAACAGCGUAAUUUCUUCCGGAGAGUUCAUAUUGAAGGAGGGGUUUGCGACCUCGAUGUUGGAUUAAGACAUCCUGGGGGUGUAGCAGCUCCCGAGGGUUGGUCUGUUCGACCAUAAAAGUCUUACAUGAUCUGAGUUCAGACCGGCGUGAGCCAGGUUGGUUUCUAUCUUUAGCACAAAAGUACCCUCGGCUAGUACGAAAGGAUUGCUGAAUAAUUGGGUAAAUUAUUUAUGAUUUGUGAGCUAUAAUAACAGCAGAAUAAGGAAGAUUGAGGA